This 266-nucleotide ribosomal RNA is filed under the name uncultured prokaryote. Its description in RNAcentral is "partial 16S ribosomal RNA". It matches the Rfam family "Bacterial small subunit ribosomal RNA", at positions 524 to 788 of the family's 1533-position model. The record is from RNAcentral.
UACGUAGGUGGCAAGCGUUAUCCGGAAUUACUGGGUGUAAAGGGCGCGCAGGCGGCCCUGCAAGUCGGAUGUGAAAGAUCAAGGCUCAACCUUGACAGGCCAUUCGAAACUGUGGGACUUGAGUGUCAGAGAGGAAAGCGGAAUUCCUAGUGUAGCGGUGAAAUGCGUAGAUAUUAGGAGGAACACCAGUGGCGAAGGCGGCUUUCUGGACUGAUACUGACGCUGAGGAACGAAAGCGUGGGGAGCAAACAGGAUUAGAUACCCCU